UUUAACUUUCAGCAUCAAGUAUUUUGUUUCAGCAAAGAGAAGUUGAGACAGCUGCCCUUUCCUUCCUCAGAUGUGUGGGAUUCUAUGGUUCUCUGAAAGGCUGUGUUCAUGCAGGGAGCACUGCAGGCCUCGGCAUGGUGGCAUCCUGGUCUCACAUGACACCACGCACAACUUCAAGUUGCUGGGACCCAAAGUUACAAGGAGUGUUCCUCACUGCUGCACUGAUCAAGUUGUCUGGCUAAACUCUGAGGCUUGUUUUAUGCUGUGAAUUUUCCGCAUCACUGGUUCCUUCCUACUCAUUUGCUGGCCCUCAGCCUGGCAAAAAGACAACCGGAAGCGCCUCGCCCCCAUUAUAAAAUGUGGCUGAAACAUUUCAUUGAGUC
RNAcentral lists this long non-coding RNA (383 nucleotides) under Cavia porcellus (domestic guinea pig). Its description in RNAcentral is "lncRNA (ENSCPOG00000035398.1)". The record is from RNAcentral. Lineage: Eukaryota; Metazoa; Chordata; Mammalia; Rodentia; Caviidae.